Molecule: ribosomal RNA, 254 nt
Filed under: uncultured bacterium
Lineage: Bacteria
Description: partial 16S ribosomal RNA
Rfam family: Bacterial small subunit ribosomal RNA
Source: RNAcentral
GGAAACUUGAGCUAAUACCGGAUGUGCCCUUCGGGGGAAAGAUUUAUCGCCWUUGGAGCGGCCCGCGUUGGAUUAGCUAGUUGGUGGGGUAAAGGCCCACCAAGGCUCCGAUCCAUAGCUGGUCUGAGAGGAUGAUCAGCCACACUGGGACUGAGACACGGCCCAGACUCCUACGGGAGGCAGCAGUGGGGAAUCUUGCGCAAUGGGCGAAAGCCUGACGCAGCCAUGCCGCGUGAAUGAUGAAGGUCUUAGGA